AGCUUUGCGCAGUGGCAGUAUCGUAGCCAAUGAGGUUUAUCCGAGGCGCGAUUAUUACUAAUUGAAGAUACACGAGAUGAUUUCUUAAGUCCUAUUGGGAAAAAGUGAAACUCUCCUGCAGCAAGA
This 126-nucleotide small nuclear RNA is filed under the name Rhinolophus ferrumequinum (greater horseshoe bat). Its description in RNAcentral is "U4 spliceosomal RNA (ENSRFEG00010011264.1)". The stretch from base 1 to 70 matches the Rfam family "U4 spliceosomal RNA". From Rfam's summary of the family: U4 small nuclear RNA (U4 snRNA) is a component of the major U2-dependent spliceosome. The structure of U4 snRNA from yeast and human has been reported. The record is from RNAcentral. Lineage: Eukaryota; Metazoa; Chordata; Mammalia; Chiroptera; Rhinolophidae.